RNAcentral lists this ribosomal RNA (253 nucleotides) under uncultured bacterium. Its description in RNAcentral is "partial 16S ribosomal RNA". It matches the Rfam family "Bacterial small subunit ribosomal RNA", at positions 524 to 776 of the family's 1533-position model. The record is from RNAcentral.
UACGGAAGGGGCAAGCGUUGUUCGGAAUCAUUGGGCGUAAAGGGCGCGUAGGUGGCUCUGUAUGUCUACCGUGAAAGCAUACAGCUCAACUGUAUUUUGUCGGUAGAAACUGCAGGACUUGAGGCUGGGAGAGGCUGGUGGAAUUCCCUGUGUAGCGGUGAAAUGCGUAGAGAUGGGGGAGAACACUCGUGGCGAAGGCGGCCAGCUAGACCAGUUCUGACACUGAGGCGCGACAGCGUGGGGAGCAAACAGG